RNAcentral lists this ribosomal RNA (421 nucleotides) under uncultured bacterium. RNAcentral's name for it is "partial 16S ribosomal RNA". It matches the Rfam family "Bacterial small subunit ribosomal RNA", at positions 360 to 773 of the family's 1533-position model. The record is from RNAcentral.
AAUCUUCCACAAUGGACGAAAGUCUGAUGGAGCAACGCCGCGUGAGUGAAGAAGGUUUUCGGAUCGUAAAGCACUGUUGUGAGGGAAGAACAAGUACAGGAGUAACUGUCUGCACAUUGACGGAACCGCAACAGAAAGCCACGGCUAACUAGGUACCAGCAGCCGCGGUAAUACGUAGGUGGCAAGCGUUGUCCGGAAUUAUUGGGCGUAAAGCGCGCGCAGGCGGUCCUUUAAGUCUGAUGUGAAAGCCCACGGCUCAACCGUGGAGGGUCAUUGGAAACUGGAGGACUUGAGUACAGGAGAGGAAAGCGGAAUUCCACGUGUAGCGGUGAAAUGCGUAGAGAUGUGGAGGAACACCAGUGGCGAAGGCGGCUUUCUGGUCUGUAACUGACGCUGAGGCGCGAAAGCGUGGGGAGCAAAC